Molecule: non-coding RNA, 81 nt
Filed under: uncultured Gemmiger sp.
Lineage: Bacteria; Bacillati; Bacillota; Clostridia; Eubacteriales; Oscillospiraceae
Source: RNAcentral
AAAACAGGGGCGCCGUAAGGCUGAGAUUUGCGAGAGCGAAGUACCCUUAACCUGAUCCGGGUAAUGCCGGCGGAGGGAGUU